UUGGCUUACAGUUUGAGGGUACAGUCUGU
Molecule: non-coding RNA, 29 nt
Filed under: Rattus norvegicus (Norway rat)
Lineage: Eukaryota; Metazoa; Chordata; Mammalia; Rodentia; Muridae
Source: RNAcentral